AUGUUUGGAGUAAUGAUUACGUGGGCACAGAAGACAAACUCAUCAAGCAUCUCAAACAAGACAGUCUCUGGGAUUUCAUCUUCCUUUUUGAAGCGACCUGACCUAUCAGGAUCUUCAUUUCCCAACACAUUCUGGAGUUCUGAAGAAGUUCACUGUGACUAUUUUUGCUGCUGUCCAUUGCUUUCGUGGAGGGAUGAAGCUUUGGAGUUUUCUACUCCGCUAUUUUCACAGAUGUCCGUCCAGUGGAGAGAGUGGGUGAUAUGGCUGUGA
Molecule: long non-coding RNA, 270 nt
Filed under: Ailuropoda melanoleuca (giant panda)
Lineage: Eukaryota; Metazoa; Chordata; Mammalia; Carnivora; Ursidae
Description: lncRNA (ENSAMEG00000025311.1)
Source: RNAcentral